Molecule: ribosomal RNA, 467 nt
Filed under: uncultured Pseudomonadota bacterium
Lineage: Bacteria; Pseudomonadati; Pseudomonadota
Description: bacterial SSU rRNA
Rfam family: Bacterial small subunit ribosomal RNA
Source: RNAcentral
UGGGGAAUUUUGGACAAUGGGCGCAAGCCUGAUCCAGCCAUGCCGCGUGUGUGAAGAAGGCCUUCGGGUUGUAAAGCACUUUCGGCCGGAACGAAAUCGCCUUUGUUAAUAGCGAAGGUGGAUGACGGUACCGGAAGAAGAAGCACCGGCUAACUACGUGCCAGCAGCCGCGGUAAUACGUAGGGUGCGAGCGUUAAUCGGAAUUACUGGGCGUAAAGGGUGCGCAGGCGGCCCCGCAAGUCAGGCGUGAAAUCCCCGGGCUUAACCUGGGAAUGGCGCUUGAAACUACGGGGCUGGAGUAUGGCAGAGGGAGUGGAAUUCCACGUGUAGCGGUGAAAUGCGUAGAGAUGUGGAGGAACACCGAUGGCGAAGGCAGCCUCCUGGGCCAAUACUGACGCUCAUGCACGAAAGCGUGGGGAGCAAAACAGGAUUAAGAUACCCUGGUAGUCCACGCCCUAAAGAUGAUG